Molecule: ribosomal RNA, 473 nt
Filed under: uncultured eubacterium WR838
Lineage: Bacteria
Description: bacterial SSU rRNA
Rfam family: Bacterial small subunit ribosomal RNA
Source: RNAcentral
GAGUUUGAUCCUGGCUCAGAGCGAACGCUGGCGGCAGGCUUAACACAUGCAAGUCGAGCGGGCGUAGCAAUACGUCAGCGGCAGACGGGUGAGUAACGCGUGGGAACGUACCUUUUGGUUCGGAACAACACAGGGAAACUUGUGCUAAUACCGGAUAAGCCCUUACGGGGAAAGAUUUAUCGCCGAAAGAUCGGCCCGCGUCUGAUUAGCUAGUUGGUGAGGUAAUGGCUCACCAAGGCGACGAUCAGUAGCUGGUCUGAGAGGAUGAUCAGCCACAUUGGGACUGAGACACGGCCCAAACUCCUACGGGAGGCAGCAGUGGGGAAUAUUGGACAAUGGGCGCAAGCCUGAUCCAGCCAUGCCGCGUGAGUGAUGAAGGCCCUAGGGUUGUAAAGCUCUUUUGUGCGGGAAGAUAAUGACGGUACCGCAAGAAUAAGCCCCGGCUAACUUCGUGCCAGCAGCCGCGGUAUACG